Spermophilus dauricus (Daurian ground squirrel) is the source of this 106-nucleotide small nuclear RNA. Lineage: Eukaryota; Metazoa; Chordata; Mammalia; Rodentia; Sciuridae. The record is from Ensembl.
CUGCUUGCUUCAGUAGCACAUAUACUAAAACUGCAAUGUUGUAAGAAAACUAGUACAGCCUUUAUGCAAGGAUGACUAGUAAAUUCACAAACCAUUCCACAUUUUU